This 440-nucleotide ribosomal RNA is filed under the name uncultured bacterium. RNAcentral's name for it is "partial 16S ribosomal RNA". It matches the Rfam family "Bacterial small subunit ribosomal RNA", at positions 338 to 795 of the family's 1533-position model. The record is from RNAcentral.
CCUACGGGGCGCAGCAGUGGGGGAUAUUGCACAAUGGGGGGAACCCUGAUGCAGCGACGCCGCGUGGGUGAAGGAGCGUUUCGGCGCGUAAAGCCCUAUCGGCAGGGAAGAAGAUGACGGUACCUGACUAAGAAGCCCCGGCUAACUACGUGCCAGCAGCCGCGGUAAUACGUAGGGGGCAAGCGUUAUCCGGAUUUACUGGGUGUAAAGGGGGCGCAGACGGCAGUGCAAGUCAGAGGUGAAAGCUUGGGGCCCAACCCCAGGACUGCACUUGAAACUGCAAAGCUGGAGUACAGGAGGGGCAGGCGGAAUUCCUAGGGUAGCGGUGAAAUGCGUAGAUAUUAGGAGGAACACCAGUGGCGAAGGCGGCCUGCUGGACUGUAACUGACGUUGAGGCCCGAAGGCGUGGGGAGCAAACAGGAUUAGAUACCCGAGUAGUC